Cercocebus atys (sooty mangabey) is the source of this 482-nucleotide long non-coding RNA. RefSeq lists it as uncharacterized. The transcript has 4 exons. The record is from RefSeq and is a predicted model, not a curated record. Lineage: Eukaryota; Metazoa; Chordata; Mammalia; Primates; Cercopithecidae.
UGCCUCAGCCUCCCAAGUAGCUGGGACUACAGGUGUUCAACACCAGACCUCUGGCUAGAAUUUACAUUUUAAUAAGUUCCCGCUGUGACUUAAAUGCACAUUAAAGAUUGAGAAGCCAUGCAUUAGUGGAUUUGAUGAAGGGGCCAAGAGCCAUACAGUUUCUGUCACAACUAUUUAACUCUGCCAUUGUAGUACGAAAACAGCCUGAGACGAUAGAUAACACAUACACAAGAUGGACAGAUGUUGAAAUUUGCUGUGUUCUAAUAAGACUGUCAACAAAAACAAGUAAUGCAAACACAUUUUGAGUUUCUCAGCUGAGCCAAAGGAAAUCAAGAAAUCUCUUGAAAUCAAGGAAAUCAAGGAAUCAAUUACUUACACCAAGCUGAGCAAGAGACAACUUGAAGGCAGAGGUAGCAGUAAUCAGACAAGAUUUCCAAGGCAACCUGGUGGUACUGAGGCAGGAGGCAGAACUCAACGCUGGA